RNAcentral lists this ribosomal RNA (431 nucleotides) under Fusarium solani-melongenae. Its description in RNAcentral is "partial large subunit ribosomal RNA". It matches the Rfam family "Eukaryotic large subunit ribosomal RNA", at positions 163 to 602 of the family's 3401-position model. The record is from RNAcentral. Lineage: Eukaryota; Fungi; Ascomycota; Sordariomycetes; Hypocreales; Nectriaceae.
UUUUGGUGAGGUGCCUUCCGAGUUCCCUGGAACGGGACGCCACAGAGGGUGAGAGCCCCGUCUGGUUGGACACCGAGCCUCUGUAAAGCUCCUUCGACGAGUCGAGUAGUUUGGGAAUGCUGCUCUAAAUGGGAGGUAUAUGUCUUCUAAAGCUAAAUACCGGCCAGAGACCGAUAGCGCACAAGUAGAGUGAUCGAAAGAUGAAAAGAACUUUGAAAAGAGAGUUAAACAGUACGUGAAAUUGUUGAAAGGGAAGCGCUUGUGACCAGACUUGGGCUUGGUUGAUCAUCCGGGGUUCUCCCCGGUGCACUCUUCCGGCUCAGGCCAGCAUCAGUUCGCCCUGGGGGAUAAAGGCAGCGGGAAUGUGGCUCUCUCCGGGGAGUGUUAUAGCCCGCUGCGUAAUACCCUGUGGCGGACUGAGUUUUCGCGCA